UAUGAGGCUGAUCUGGCCUGCUGUAUGUGUGACCCCAUCAAUUGCUAGGGCUGAGCUGGCCGAUCCAAAGGGUUAGCAUGUCCUUCAUCUGGUCUUCAUUGAGCUGUGGACUGCCCUCCAAAAGCUGAAUGCUCUGUCAAGAAGGAUGCCCUUCCCAGACAGGAAGAGCUGUUCUUUGGUCAAAGUUAUACAGGUG
Molecule: small nuclear RNA, 196 nt
Filed under: Nomascus leucogenys (northern white-cheeked gibbon)
Lineage: Eukaryota; Metazoa; Chordata; Mammalia; Primates; Hylobatidae
Description: 7SK RNA
Rfam family: 7SK RNA
About the family: 7SK was discovered as an abundant small nuclear RNA in the mid-70s but a possible function has only recently been suggested.
Source: Rfam by way of RNAcentral